Molecule: ribosomal RNA, 440 nt
Filed under: uncultured bacterium
Lineage: Bacteria
Description: partial 16S ribosomal RNA
Rfam family: Bacterial small subunit ribosomal RNA
Source: RNAcentral
CCUACGGGAGGCAGCAGUAGGGAAUAUUGCUCAAUGGGGGAAACCCUGAAGCAGCAACGCCGCGUGGAGGAUGAAGGUUUUCGGAUUGUAAACUCCUUUUGUUAGAGAAGAUAAUGACGGUAUCUAACGAAUAAGCACCGGCUAACUCCGGGCCCGCAGCCGCGGUAAUACGGAGGGUGCAAGCGUUACUCGGAAUCACUGGGCGGAAAGAGCGCGUAGGCGGGAUAGCAAGUCAGAUGUGAAAUCCUAUGGCUUAACCAUAGAACUGCAUUUGAAACUGUUAUUCUAGAGUAUGGGAGAGGUAGGUGGAAUUCUUGGUGUAGGGGUAAAAUCCGUGGAGAUCAAGAGGAAUACUCAUUGCGAAGGCGACCUGCUAGAACAUAACUGACGCUGAUGCGCGAAAGCGUGGGGAGCAAACAGGAUUAGAUACCCUUGUAGUC